This is a long non-coding RNA of Mesocricetus auratus (golden hamster), 2613 nucleotides long. RefSeq lists it as uncharacterized. Lineage: Eukaryota; Metazoa; Chordata; Mammalia; Rodentia; Cricetidae. The record is from RefSeq and is a predicted model, not a curated record. The transcript is spliced from 2 exons.
CACAAUGAGAACAAAGGAGCGGUGGUAGCCUCGGGAGAAGCACAGUUCUCACAAGCGUUAAAUCCAGGGCAGGCGUUUGAUCUGAGGUGAGUCCUCUCUCAAUGCUGACUAGCAUUAAGGAGCCAUCUCCUUAAUAAAGUAACUCAGAGCGUUGUGAUCAGGAGCUAUCUUCAAAGGGGGUCUAUUGUUUGAGAAAACUCUGGAGACCAGAAAAUGCAGGCAGGUGACCAGUCAGCGUGCCUGGGGACACUCUGCCCUAGCGACUGUCCAGGAGAAAGCACUGUAAGAAGACGGGACGACAGAUCCACUGAGAAGUUCUAGUAACCCGGAGCCUGAGCUGUGGAAGACUCAGUGAUCAGAAGUCCUGACCCCUGGUGGCGAGGACUGUGACCUGUAGCUUGUGACCUGCCUAGACUGAGGCCUCCAAGCCUGCUGCUGCAGAUUUCUGGAAAAUCAAGGCAGUCUGAUUGAUGGGCAAACAAGGUGGGUGAACUUUGCCAUCCCGUGGACUGCAGACUGAGGCUCUCUGGAGUGAAUGGGAACCUGUCCAGCUACAGAAUGUAGACCGCAGCGUGGGGCUCAAAGGCCCCACAAACACAAAGGAAGAAAGCCUCUAGACUUUUUUUUUCUUAGAGCCUAGCUUAAACACCGCCCGGAAGCAGGCAACGCGUCCUCCACACCAGUCUGCUUAGCAGGAGCAAACGCAAACCCACUGCUCUCUCCACACAGACCUGGAAACGCGCUUCUGUCUCCCUUUUGAUUUCCCUUCCGUUUAAAACUAUUACUUCAUUACUCAGGCAAAUAGAACCGUCUAAUUCUUGACAGAGAUAUCAAAAACACAUAUUAAAAAAUAAAACUUUAAGCAUUUUUACUGGGAAAACUGGAUAUCCACAUGUAGAAGAAUAAAAGCAGAAACCUAUAUCUUAUCCUGUGUAAAAAGAAAGAAACCUCAAAAUGUUAUCUAUUCUAUCGUCCCAUUACUAUCCUAUCUCCCUUUUCUGUUCAAAGGGGUUAAAAAUUAACUAGUCUAUAAAAGUUACAGCCCUGUAUUAAAGGAAAUCAUUUAUUCUGAGCCAUCGACGAUGACUGAUCCUGGCUCAGGAACAUGGAUUUGGGUUAUCCUAAAGAUGCAGGCAAAGGACAGAGGAAGUCGUAAACCAGUACAUUCGACAAUUAUUAGUUAAUUACUGCAGGGAGGGGUGGGUCAGAACGUGGGGUUUUGUUUUACGCGUCCUCUCUUCUUGCACUCAAGGCACAUGGCCCGCUUCUUUGGAAUACUAGUCACAGAUUUAUGAAGAUGAUGGCAUAAGGCAGAGCUCCCUGAAGAAGCUGUGUGCUAUCCACUAUCUCACACACUCUUCUCUUGGCUGAGUAAAGUAUUGUGAUUGGGAAGAGGUGUAAGGUCAAGAGCCAAAUUAUCUCAGACUGCCUUGGGCUUUUUGUGUAAGCAGCCAUUUCCUGUUAAUGGUAUCUGAUCUGAUGCCCUCAGAAUGUUUUGUUUACGAUUCGUGCAAUGCUAAGGGGCUGUAAGAUAGCAUACAAAACCUACAAGAAAGAUUUCCUCAUUUUUCUGUAUCUACUGUUCGUUGAAUGUGUUGCUUAUGACUAAUGCAGCUGUUGAAUGCAUUGGUUUAUGACUUCCUUUGUCCUUUGCCUGCAAACCUUUAUGUAACUACUUUGAUUUAGGAUUGAAUUAGUCUGGGUAACCUGAAUCCAUGCUACUAUUGCUGGCUUAGAAUAACUGAUUUUCUUUAAAAAAACAGACCUGUAACUUUUACAGAAUAGUUAAUUUUUAACCAUUAUGUGGGGGAUCAUGAGGCUAGGUAAACAUAUUAAGGAUAGGCUUUCAGUUGGACAGAAAAUAGUUUAAAUAGUAGCCUGUACCAUUAGGAAACAAGGUAAUACAAGCAUAAUGAACAUUGCCCUUCUGAGCUGUUUCAAAAACAGUGAUUGGUUUUGUUUGCUCUUUCACCCAAAGGUACACGUGUCCUAGAAACAACAUUUUUCUGGUUAUAGAAAUUGCCUUUUAAAUAAAUCUGUUUGUUGCAGUCUAUAGCCUAUCUUCUUGGAGAGUUAGAAUUCACAUUGUAGCAUAGUAAAGACACCAUGGCCCCCAGCUGAAGUGUUGUGCCUGGCUUUGCUUUUCUGUUUUCAGGGACUAUCAUAGCCUUCUGUGCCUUUGUUACUCCCAUGGGCUAGCCUGAGAAAACACAUGUGGAAGAACUCUUCUCUAAAGGGCCAUUUGCUUGCAUGAUUGAACAAGAUAGAAACUAAGAGAUAAAUGUUGAUGUUGGAGACAUCAAUGUGGAAAAUCAGAUUCAUAUUACAAUUACAAAAUCUAAGUUUGUCAGCACUCUAGCUGAGUUUCCUUGUACCUGGCCCUGAAGCAGUAAUAGUUGUUAUCACCUUUGACACAUUUACCUUUCUGAAGAAUAGAAAUAUUUUCUGUUAUUACUCCAUGUGUUGGGGUCUUGGACUGAAUAAAAAUGAGCUGAACACUAAUAUUCACAGCUUUCUCUUUGCUGGGUGUGGAUACCAUGUGACCAGCUACGUUAGUGUUCCCACCAUGAUGGGCUCUAUGGACUAUCAGCCAAAAUAAACCUUGUCCUCUUA